Molecule: long non-coding RNA, 2890 nt
Filed under: Nicotiana benthamiana
Lineage: Eukaryota; Viridiplantae; Streptophyta; Magnoliopsida; Solanales; Solanaceae
Description: long non-coding RNA (NBEN_LNC004096)
Source: RNAcentral
GAAACUAGAAUUAAUCUCAAUAUGAACUAAUAUCAAGUUAAUCUAGUUGAGAAUUAACAAACAACAACAACAACAACAACAACAAAGUACAAUCCCACUUAGUGGGGUCUGGGGAGGGUAGUAUGUACGCAGACCUUACCCCUACCCUGGGGUAGAGAUGUUGUUUCCAAAUAGACCCCCGGCAUCUCGAACUCACAACCUCUCGGUUGGAAGUGGGGGUUGUUUACCAUCAGGGAAAUAACAAACAAGAAUAAAUAAUUAACGGGAAAGAAAAGAGAAAACUGGACAGAACAAUUUCUGAGCUUCUGAACUCCUCUCUGGACUUGUUGCAAUUUGCUGGAUUCCUUUCUCGAAACUUCAAUUUUCCAGCUUCAAAUCCUUUCCUAAGCCCCUAAAUCCUCAGCUCAAACUCUCGUCCAAAACUGCAGAUUUUCAGCAGCUCAAUUAGGGGAGAAACAGGGUAGAAAUUUGCUCUCAAACACUACCCCAAUGCUACUGAUUUCCUAGCUCAAAUGAUGUCAAAGCUGCAAAUUUUAGCAGCUCGAAUUGGUGGAGAAACUAUGUAGAAUACUAUGCAAAUUUCAGCAGACCUGUUCAGUUCAAAUUGGGCAGAAAGCCAGCUCAAACUAUGGAGAAAUAAUAGUGCAGAAAUUUCUGUCCAAACUAUCCAGAAAACUGCUGCUGAACAGGGCAGAAAUUCAGCUCAAAAUGUGCAGAUAUCAGCAGCUAAACUGGGCACAAACAGUGCAGAGUUUGGCUCCCUCAAACUAUGCAAUAACUCUCUAACAAGUAUAGAACUUUUGGUGCAACUGAUGCUCACACAACAUAUGCAAAACUGCAACUCAAGCUAGCAGAAAUUGCAGCUGAAACUACUCAAAAGUGCAGCAAACUGGACAGAAACAUGUACAAGUUAAAGAAACUAACAGAACUGGUCUACCCAAGCUGCUGAAACAGUACCAAAUUUAGCUUUUGAACUGGCAGAAACCUUUCUCAAACUGUAUUUUGUUGUUAAACAAUGUAGAUUUCAGCAGCUCUAAUCUGAUUCAGAAACUCAAUCAAAAUCCCAAAAUUGAGUCCCAAGUAUUUCAGUCUAAUACCAAUUCCAGAAUUCAACCAACAGCAAUGAAUUAGAAAUCCAAUAACCAGAGAAACUAUCAAGUCGAACUCACAUAAUCAGUCCAACAAUCUCCAAGAAAUUUUACAGCAAAUAGUUUCAACCAAUGGCAGCCUCAAGUCGAACUAUGAAUUCAGUUCAAUACUCGAAAAAAAAUCAAGCUUAAACAAUGUUAGUCGAAUUCACGGAUUCAAAUCGAUCGAUCCCAAAUAAUAGUAAUGAAAUUCAGUCUUCUAUUCGAUUAAUCAAUCGAAAAUGCCUCAGAAUCCAGAAAAUGACACAAGUUUAAGCAUAGAGGAAUCAGACCUGAUGCAUCGAGGAGUGCGGAGGCUACGUAAUAGCUUCAGGCACUCAACUGUAGAAAUUCGAUUGUCGAGCAAUCCUCAAACAAAUGAACCCAAGCUUCAGCCACAACUUCCCGACACCAAUUAGAAUAAAACCCCAGAACCAGUUUGUUCAGACACUCAUGAAAACAACGAACCCUAGGUCGUCUUCUCUGUUAACCCGCUUAGCAACUUUGAACCAAAACCCUAUUAAAUCAGUUUCAAUCGAGCUAAUCCUUCCAAUUUAGCUUUGGUAUUAAUGUCUCGACAAGAAUCAGUUACGCCCCGUCGAUUCCGAGCCCCAAUUUUAGAUUUCAAAUGAAACCUAGCUUCUUCGAUGAGCUCGGCAAUGGCGGGGUUCAAAUUGUGCUCUGAUUCAAUCGUAACUCCGAAUUUUCAGCUCAAAUUAGCAGAUUAAACUCUGAGAAUGAAGGAAUCAGAAUUUUCAGAAUAAAAAUCCUUAGAGAAUAAGGAAUUCGAUUUUUUUUGCAGUAUACACACAAAACAAUGAUAAACAAUAUGAACAGUGACCUUUCUAUUUUUGGAUUUUUUUUAAAAUUUUGCUAGUUGUUGAUAAUCAAAACAAAGAGCCCAGGAUUAAUACAACAAUCCAAAACCUCCUCUCUGAAACUAAGAUGAUAUGAACUAUGAAUCAAAACACGAAUAUGAUAAAAUACACGAAAUCAAUAAUAAGAGCUAGACCUAAAAUUGAUUGAAAGAACAAGACCAAGUAAGCUCUGAAGCCUAAUUACCUUUAAGAACUCAAUCGAUUAUAAUCAUAAGCUAUGAAAAUCCUCAAGAGAUAAGCAACUCUUAAAAACCCGAAUAAAUUAAUUAAGCAAUUAAGCAUUCACUACUAAUUGCCCACCAACUAAGACUAAUUUAGUAUUAAUGAAAGCAUAAACAAAGUAAUAAAGGAAUUAAAAGCAUACACAUAAAUGCAUUAAUUAAAAGAUAAGGAAAGAGUGCAAAACUUGCAUGUCUAAUUUUACAAGCAAUAAAACUUAGCUAUUUAUAUUAUUAGUAUUUUAGAUACAAGAAAUUCCUAAAAAGUGACUUAGAAUGUAAAUUAGCCAUUUUGGGUAGAACCUACUCCAAGUUCAUCCCCUGCCUCAAUUCUUGGUCUUCAAACCAUUGGAACACAUUAUCAUGUGUAUGGGACUUCUCUAAAACUCCUUCGGAUGCUUCAAGCUUCAUAAUCAACAAUCCAAGAUCUUGCAAUUCCUUUGCUUGGCUUCUUGUGAAUGGUGUAGAUGAAAUAGUUGAAUAUCGGGCUGUAUCAGUCUUCCUUAUUUCUUUACUCGCCUUUGUUUAUUUACUUCUUCCUUUUCUUCUCUACGCAUCAAAUUCUCUUAUCGCUUUUCUGUCUUCGUUAAAAAUUAUGCUGCUGAAUUUUUCUUAGUGACUUGCUAUGCUGACAACCAGUGAGCUCUGUUCUGUGACCUUCUUGCCA